CAGUCGCCGCGGUAAAACGGAGGGCGCGAGCGUUACCCGGAUUUACUGGGCGUAAAGGGCGUGUAGGCGGCCUGGGGCGUCCCAUGUGAAAGGCCACGGCUCAACCGUGGAGGAGCGUGGGAUACGCUCAGGCUAGAGGGUGGGAGAGGGUGGUGGAAUUCCCGGAGUAGCGGUGAAAUGCGCAGAUACCGGGAGGAACGCCGAUGGCGAAGGCAGCCACCUGGUCCACUUCUGACGCUGAGGCGCGAAAGCGUGGGGAGCAAACCGGAUUAGAUACCCCGGUAGUCCCUGUCUCUUAUAC
Molecule: ribosomal RNA, 301 nt
Filed under: uncultured bacterium
Lineage: Bacteria
Description: partial 16S ribosomal RNA
Rfam family: Bacterial small subunit ribosomal RNA
Source: RNAcentral